Long non-coding RNA from Hipposideros armiger (great roundleaf bat), 1729 nucleotides. RefSeq lists it as uncharacterized. NCBI's taxonomy places the organism in Eukaryota, Metazoa, Chordata, Mammalia, Chiroptera, Hipposideridae. The transcript has 3 exons. The record is from RefSeq and is a predicted model, not a curated record.
UCUGACGGGAAGAUAGGAAGCUGCAUCUCAAACGUUUGCCUCAUUCUCAAAGCCGCGUCCUUGCAAAGCACUGCACUGGGGCGUUUGUUGGGUGUGUGCCCAGACUAAUUAAGCUGUACUUCACAGGCCAUUUGGCCAUUGUUUGUGGCUUAUGCUUCAGUGCUCAGAAUCCCAACGGGGUGGAAAGGGGAGAGUGCCAUCCUGAACCCCUAAGAACAACUUCACUGGAAAAGACCUGCUUCGGGAAACCGCAGGAAACCCGCGUCAAACCGUGUUGACAAAACCUGAUCAUGAUAUAGUGACGCACAGGCUCUUUACUUGAUGUUCCAAGAUCCCGGACCCCAUGGGCGCAUGGUCAGGGGUCCAAUAUUCAUUAAAAUUAAAACGCUUCUGGAAGACAAAGGCACAAAUGCUAUCCAUUUAGCAUGUUAAUUACCCAGCCAAGAAGAUAAAGGGCUCACAAGUGGCCAUGUCAUUAACACUUAGGAUUCACUCGCCAACAGAUUUCUGCUCCCCUCCCUCCGUGCCGACCUGAGAUAUCAGACUCUCCCUUCAGAGGCUCAGCCCGGAGGACAACGGGUAUGAGUGUGGACCCGAGGUCUCUCUUUCGGCAGCACCCUCCUUAAUUGCAAAGGCUAACGAAGUGGAACCGGGUCAAUGACGCUGUCUGCCUAAUCCAUCGUGUCUGUCUAAACUGGGACUUGCUGGUUUACAGUAGAGUAAAUUCCUGUCUGUCAGAGGCGAGGCUGCUGAAGACCAAAGGGGGAUUUGCGACGUGCUUGGAGGCCCCAGUGUGGAUGGAGUGCUUCCAGAAUCUUAAUGCGGGUACCAGGAACCAUAGAGCUGCCAGAAAGCAAGGAAAACCCUUUCACAGCAGGCUUAUGAAGGCUAAGUAGGACAUGCCCCUCCACACCCAACGCUACUCAACCACAAUUCUUCUGAACUGUGAGUUAUUAUAGACACCAGCUAAACCGAUUCCACUCGACGGCAGCGAGAUGGGUAAAUUUAGCUACCACGCUCUGAAUGCUUACUUUGUGCCAAGCACACGGAAUGCUUGCAGUCCUGCCAAGGGAGGUAUCAGGCUCCCCACUCUACAGAUCAGAUAACCGAUGCUCGGCGAGGAUAAUUUGCUCAAAAACACAGGCCUGACACAGGAUGGGGCCGGGACUGGUGCUCGGGUGGGCAGGUGGCCAGAAACGGGUCCCGUAACCAAUAUCCUGGUGAUUCUAAAGCAUGAACGUACGGGCUCAGGAUCCCUGGGCAAGUCUCCAAAGAAUCUGCAUUUUUAUUAAACGCCCUUGGGGGAGUUUUAUGUGCACUGAAGCCUGAGAACCCCUGCGCCGUAUCAUGGCUAAUGCAAGACUGAAAGCAUCUAAGGGGACAAAGACAGCCAGUGAGAAACCAGCAGUGGGACCCCGACCUCUGAAACCCAGCCAGCACCACGUGUCUGAUGCAUGCAGAGCCCGUGCUCUGCACCCCUGAAAGAGCUUCAAGUCGGACCCCAGAACGGAGCAGCGAGAACCUCCUGGAGCUGAUUCAUCACCCACGGCUUUGGACAAGAGGAGAAACCGCAGACACGCGGAAACUCUGAAAUUCCCCCCCGCUUGGUGUGUGUCUCUCUGAGCAUAACCGGUUACCAACCGUUGUAUCUAACACUUCAUCUGCGUGUGCCUCAGAGGCUUUGUCAUUCUUUACAGAGUACACAGAAUUAUGAUUCUCAGAAGGACAA